GAAUCCCGUCUUUGGCACGGAUGUACCGGGGCUUUUGUGAUGCGCUCUCGAAGAGUCGAGUUGUUUGGGAAUGCAGCUCAAAAUGGGUGGUAAAUGCCAUCUAAAGCUAAAUAUUGGCGAGAGACCGAUAGCGAACAAGUACCGUGAGGGAAAGAUGAAAAGCACUUUGGAAAGAGAGUUAAACAGUACGUGAAAUUGCUGAAAGGGAAACGCUUGAAGUCAGUCGCGUCGGCUAGAAAUCAACCUUGCUUUUGCUUGGUGUACUUUCUUGUUGAUGGGUCAGCAUCAAUUUUGACCGUUGGAUAAAGUCGUUGGGAAUGUGGCAUCUUAGGAUGUGUUAUAGCCCAUCGUCGCAUACAGCGGUUGGGAUUGAGGAACUCAGCACGCCCUUCUGGGGACGGGUUUCGACCACGUUUCGUGCUUAGGAUGCUGGCAUAAUGGCUUUAAUCGACCCGUCUUGAAACACGGACCAAGGAGUCUAACAUGCCUGCGAGUGUUUGGGUGGAAAACCCAUGCGCGCAAUGAAAGUGAAAGUUGAGAUCCCCUCAAGGGGAGCAUCGACGCCCGGACCAGAGCUUCUGUGACGGAUCCGCGGUAGAGCAUGUAUGUUGGGACCCGAAAGAUGGUGAACUAUGCCUGAAUAGGGUGAAGCCAGAGGAAACUCUGGUGGAGGCUCGUAGCGAUUCUGACGUGCAAAUCGAUCGUCAAAUUUGGGUAUAGGGGCGAAAGACUAAUCGAACCAUCCAGUAGCUGGUUCCUGCC
This 762-nucleotide ribosomal RNA is filed under the name uncultured Inocybe. RNAcentral describes it as "partial 28S ribosomal RNA". It matches the Rfam family "Eukaryotic large subunit ribosomal RNA", at positions 216 to 962 of the family's 3401-position model. The record is from RNAcentral. Lineage: Eukaryota; Fungi; Basidiomycota; Agaricomycetes; Agaricales; Cortinariaceae.